RNAcentral lists this long non-coding RNA (400 nucleotides) under Equus caballus (horse). RNAcentral describes it as "lncRNA (ENSECAG00000054398.1)". Lineage: Eukaryota; Metazoa; Chordata; Mammalia; Perissodactyla; Equidae. The record is from RNAcentral.
CUGAGCCUGUACUGUUUACCUCGCACUCGACUCUAAUCUGUGAGUUGAUUGUCAGCUUCAGUUUCCUGGGAGAGCACACAGGACCCCUGUGAUUACAUAUGGCCCACUUGGAUAACAGGAUAAUCGUCCCAUCUCAAGAUCCUUAAUCACAUCUGCAGUGUCCUCUGUGCCGCAUAAAGGAACAUAUUCAUAGCCUUAACCUGAAGUGGACCCUAACCAUGGAGAAGUCCUGCGGAAGCCAAUGGGAUGGCACAGUCAUCUCAACCCUGAGAGAAAAACGGUCCUUCCAGCCAGGGGAGGCAGGAGGAUGCGACCCUCUCUGAAGAACGUGGAGGGAAUCCGUGUUUAUUGUUUCUCUCCUCAUUUCGCCUGAGGGCAGUUCCUUUUGGCAAAAUCAUGG